UAGCUAAUACCGCAUAAUGUCGCAAGACCAAAGUGGGGGACCUUCGGGCCUCAUGCCAUCAGAUGUGCCCAGAUGGGAUUAGCUAGUAGGUGGGGUAACGGCUCACCUAGGCGACGAUCCCUAGCUGGUCUGAGAGGAUGACCAGCCACACUGGAACUGAGACACGGUCCAGACUCCUACGGGAGGCAGCAGUGGGGAAUAUUGCACAAUGGGCGCAAGCCUGAUGCAGCCAUGCCGCGUGUGUGAAGAAGGCCUUCGGGUUGUAAAGCACUUUCAGCGGGGAGGAAGGCGGUGAGGUUAAUAACCUCGCCGAUUGACGUUACCCGCAGAAGAAGCACCGGCUAACUCCGUGCCAGCAGCCGCGGUAAUACGGAGGGUGCAAGCGUUAAUCGGAAUUACUGGGCGUAAAGCGCACGCAGGCGGUCUGUCAAGUCGGAUGUGAAAUCCCCGGGCUCAACCUGGGAACUGCAUUCGAAACUGGCAGGCUAGAGUCUUGUAGAGGGGGGUAGAAUUCCAGGUGUAGCGGUGAAAUGCGUAGAGAUCUGGAGGAAUACCGGUGGCGAAGGCGGCCCCCUGGACAAAGACUGACGCUCAGGUGCGAAAGCGUGGGG
RNAcentral lists this ribosomal RNA (611 nucleotides) under Enterobacteriaceae bacterium HGH0309. RNAcentral describes it as "bacterial SSU rRNA". It matches the Rfam family "Bacterial small subunit ribosomal RNA", at positions 160 to 766 of the family's 1533-position model. The record is from RNAcentral. Lineage: Bacteria; Pseudomonadati; Pseudomonadota; Gammaproteobacteria; Enterobacterales; Enterobacteriaceae.